AUCCAUUUAGUUUAAAAGGUAAAACUUUGUUCUUUCAAAGCAAUGAUAUGAGUUCAAUUCUCAUAAUGGAUA
Molecule: transfer RNA, 72 nt
Filed under: Rhizaria sp.
Lineage: Eukaryota
Description: tRNA-Glu
Rfam family: tRNA
About the family: Transfer RNA (tRNA) molecules are approximately 80 nucleotides in length. Their secondary structure includes four short double-helical elements and three loops (D, anti-codon, and T loops).
Source: RNAcentral